AACGAACGCUGGCGGCAGGCUUAACACAUGCAAGUCGAACGGGUGCAGCAAUGCAUCAGUGGCAGACGGGUGAGUAACACGUGGGAACCUUCCUAGGGGUACGGAACAACUCAGGGAAACUUGAGCUAAUACCGUAUGUGUCCGAGAGGAGAAAGAUUUAUCGCCCUUAGACGGGCCCGCGUCGGAUUAGCUAGUUGGUGGGGUAACGGCCUACCGAGGCGACGAUCCGUAGCUGAUCUUAGAGGAUGAUCAGCCACACUGGGACUGAGACACGGCCCAGACUCCUACGGGGGGCAGCAGUGGGGAAUCUUGGACAACGGGCGCAAGCCUGAUCCAGCCAUGCCGCGUGAGUGAAGAAGGUCUUCGGAUUGUAAAGCUCUUUUGCCAGGGACGAUAAUGACGGUACCUGGAGAAUAAGCCCCGGCAAACUUCGUGCCAGCCGCCGCGGUAA
This 451-nucleotide ribosomal RNA is filed under the name uncultured bacterium. RNAcentral describes it as "partial 16S ribosomal RNA". It matches the Rfam family "Bacterial small subunit ribosomal RNA", at positions 29 to 523 of the family's 1533-position model. The record is from RNAcentral.